CAGGGUGUUAUGGUGACACACACAUGCAAGAGCACAACAUUCCUGAGCAUAAAGGGCCUUGAAUGCCACACCAGGGAGGAAUUUCGCUUCUGUGUGCGGUGGAAGCAGCUAGAGAAGCACUAUCAAGUCUGUGCCUAAGAAACUGCUCGGCUGACGAGGACUUGAGCUGCUGCAGGGAGGGAGCUGCAGAGGCCAGAGGCUCAUCGAGCAGACAGGCCUGGUCUUCGAGCAGCUCCGGAUGUGACGUCUCUGUUGGCCCCAACCCUGGGCCUGUGCCCCUCCCCUGUGGGGACAACGUGCCCAGGGCCCUGUGCCCCAGACAUGCUGAUGCUGGUCUCUGUCAUGCCAACUUGCUGAUCCGGCACCUGAGGAUCCGCACGGUUAGAAAAUUCUACGUCCCUUACUGUGUCAUGCUGGGGGAGAGAGAGAGAGAGAGAGAGAGAGAAGCAAAGCAAGCAAGCAUUUUUUCCUCAUUUGCCUAGAGUAAGAGCAACCUUGUUUUAUCUGGAAAAUAAUCAUUUGCUUGCAGGUAAAGUCCUUGAAUCAUCUUGAAGUGUAAAGUUCUGAAUGUCAGUCAGGGGGAAACAAAGACCCUCAAGCAGAGGCCGGCCUUGCCUUUAGUUACGGUUUCUCUACCAUAGAGCGGCUUAACCCUGGUAGCUCUUACAACCUUCAGUAAAAGUUAGUUAUUACUAACUUGAGAGGACAGGAUUGGUAAAAGAGAGCAAAAACGAUCCGCCACUCCUGAGCUCAUGCCCCACAUUGUGGAACCUGCACCUCCGUGAGGGGAGAGUGUUCAUUUGUGUAGUGACCACUGCAGCAGUCCAACACCUGUUCGGUGCCCAGUGUUUACCCCUUCGAGGGCCUGUGUGUUCCUGUGUUGGUCAUAAGGAUUCACCAAAGGCUUACAAUUCUAAUGCAGCACACUGUGUACCAAGCACACAAGGAUGAAUGAAUUACAGUGAAACAUGCUGUCCACUGACUCACAGCCCAUUGCAGAGAGCAGCAAAUAAAUAUGAGCUCACUCAGAUCAUGCGAAAGACUUGCACAAGGUAAGUGGUCACACUCUGAGCAUCCCCUGGGGCAGGGGCAUCCAACUUCCCACCCAAAGGUGGACAGCAGGGCAGCGUGGGGUGCAGGGCUUCAGCCAGAGCCCAGAGAGGAGAACACAGCACGCUCAAGGAGCAACCUGGUGGUCUAGUGGCUAGAGAGUUUCUUCAACACAUGGUCACAGAACCACUUACAUCCAAAUCCUUCAGCCUUUUGUGAAAAGUGCAGGUUCCCGGCCCGACAUGAGACUUACUGAAUGAGGAUCUGUGGAAGAGGCCUGGGAAUCUGCAUGUUAAAUGCUCUCAGGUAAUUUGAAGGGUUGCGGGAGAAUCAC
This 1384-nucleotide long non-coding RNA is filed under the name Heterocephalus glaber (naked mole-rat). Its description in RNAcentral is "lncRNA (ENSHGLG00000033369.1)". The record is from RNAcentral. Lineage: Eukaryota; Metazoa; Chordata; Mammalia; Rodentia; Bathyergidae.